RNAcentral lists this ribosomal RNA (458 nucleotides) under uncultured bacterium. RNAcentral describes it as "partial 16S ribosomal RNA". It matches the Rfam family "Bacterial small subunit ribosomal RNA", at positions 29 to 507 of the family's 1533-position model. The record is from RNAcentral.
AACGAACGCUGGCGGCAGGCUUAACACAUGCAAGUCGAGCGCAUCCUCCGGGGUGAGCGGCGGACGGGUGAGUAACGCGUGGGAACGUGCCCUCUUCUACGGAAUAGCCCCGGUAAACGGAGAGUAAUGCCGGAUACGCCCGCAAGGGGAAAGAUUCAUCGGAGGAGGAACGGCCCGCGUUGGACGAGGUUGGCGGGGGGGUAAAGGCCCACCAAGGCGACGAUCCGUAGCGGGGUUGAGAGGAUGAUCAGCCACACUGGAACUGAGACACGGCCCAGACUCCUACGGGAGGCAGCAGUGGGGAAUAUUGGACAAUGGGCGCAAGCCUGAUCCAGCCAUACCGCGUGAGUGAAGAAGGCCUUCGGGUUGUAAAGCCCUUUUGUUGGGAAAGAAAAGCAGCAGGGUAAGACCCCGCUGUUCUGACGGGACCCAAAGAAUAAGCACCGGCUAACUUCGUG